Molecule: long non-coding RNA, 2229 nt
Filed under: Homo sapiens (human)
Lineage: Eukaryota; Metazoa; Chordata; Mammalia; Primates; Hominidae
Description: HSALNT0366549
Source: RNAcentral
GGCAGAUGCACAUGGUUAUUUGCACCAUUAUUUUCAAAAGUCAAACUGGAGCACCAUCUGAAUAUUCAUCAAAUUCAGGACUGAUGAGGCAGAGCAACACAAUGGAUUAUUAUGCAGAUAUACAAGAGAAUGCGGAAGCUCUGUAAAGUAGGGUGUGAACUCCAGGACACAGGGUGAAGUGAAGAAAGCAAGGUGCAGAAAUUGCACACAGUAUGCCAUCUUUUGUACUGGGGAAAGGAAUACAAAGCAGCGGGGAAAGGAAUGUGUAUGCAUGUAUAUGUAAAUACAGUCAUUAAAACUGAAAACAAAGUGGCACAAAUAAACCUAAUUCCCUAUCGAGUUGGCAUUGCUGCCUUAACCACACAGAGGAAAGUAACUGACUUCAGAGCACAGUAUCUUCACUGUAUUUCUUCAGUAUGAUAUAAUCCAAAGACACAAAUACUGCAUAGACAUCUCAAUGUCACUUGAAGUGAAAUAACAUAAAAAUGGGAACAGACUCCUGCUGCUGCUCCAGAAAGAUGAACAUGAGAAAGGGACCAUUAUCUCUAAUGUUUUCUCAUGUAGAAAAUGCAGGGAAUAGCUUAAAUCGAAGUUCAACUUUGGGAGCUGAUAAUUGAGUGAAAGUCUUCUUCCUUGAUUGCCCUGGGAAGAAAUCUUCAUUUUUGGUUUGCAAGACCAUGAAAAUGAGACAAUAAAUACAACAAAUGAAAUACUUUACACUCAAAAACUAUUUUUAAAAAAACAGACAAAAUAUAGAAAAUAAGUAUAAGUAACAUAUUCAAAGAGACAUUAAACGACAUUUUAUUAAUUUUAAAAGCUAUAGAUUAUAGAAAUAAAAAUUUUCCGUAUGAAAUUUCCCUCCUAAGGGUCGGCCCAAGUCCAGGACCUGUCUGGGAAUUGUGGACAUAUCGGUAGGACACGGGCAAGGAUUGCCAUCUCGCUCAGCACCUGUUUCCUUGAACGAUGAGAAUAACCCAUCUCUCCUGUUUUAAGUGUGAUUUGUCAUAUACAUCAAUAGGCAUCUUGGCUCAACAUACGAAAGCCCCUUUCCACAGAGACAGCUGCCUCCAGCCUGAAGAAGUUGCCACAGGAGGUAGAAGGAGGUCCCUUGCCCAUGCCUGGGAGACCCAGCCAGAGUGGACAGGGAGGCGGCCCGGGCCGGGGUGCCAGACUCAGCAAAUAAACACAGCAUGCCCAGGUAACUCUGAAUUUCAGAUAACCAACGAAUAACUUUGUGUGAUACUAUAUUUGUACUCAAAAGUAACUCGUUUAUCUGAAAUUCAAAGUUGACGGCGCAUGUGGUACUGUAUUGAAUCUGGCAACGCUCCACCUUGGUUUUCCUACCCGGGUUUGUGGAAGGGGCUCCCCCUGCCCCGCAGGUGCCGCCCCGAGGAGGUGGAGGAGGAGGAGCCGGGCACUGACUGGGGACCCAGGUGAGUCUAGCAAAUGACAAGGCCCAACGGUCAAAACCGCCUCAGUAAUGCGCUCGUCCAAAGCACGCACUUAACGCUCAAUCCUGGUGUCGCGUCCCGUUGCCAGGCAACGAAAGCAAGCGCUGCAAAGACGAAGGGGAGCGCCCAAGGAUGAGGAACGUUCCAAGACACUGAGUGAUUUGCUGAAAAUCACACAUCUAGUAAGUGGCAGAAUCAGAUAAGGAAACUGCAGCAUAGACAGAUUAAGAUGCAAAGCCAGAAUGCGAGCAGUGACCACCACACUUGACAAAUCCGUUGUUGCACACAUUUGUACUCUUCAAUCAACAAAACCUGAUGCAAAAAACAGAAAAGGGGGAGAUGUACAUGCAUUUUCCCUCACUGCAAAAAAAACACAACUUGUUUAACUACAGGUGUGUUCCUGGUGGUCUUUGAAUGAAGACAUUGACAGAAAGUAACAUAGCAUGCUGGUUAAAGACUGUUUUUAUUCGAAUCCUGGCUUUGCCAAUCAACAGCUGCAUAAAUUAAACUCUCGACCUCAGCUCCCUUAUUUGUAAAACAAGAAUAACAAAAAGACAUUUUUAUAAGGUUGGGUUGAAGGUUAAAUGAAAUAACAGAAGAUUAUCUCUUCACUAAUUUUAGCUGUAGAAAACAGAAGCCAAUCGAAAGAGCUCCCAGUCCAAAGCUGGAACAACUUGAACAACAAAAUAAAUAAUGUAGCAUUGGAUUACAAACCAACCAUAAAACAAAUAUCCAUGAGUCUAUACUGAUGUCAAUAAAUGAAUAAAUGUGGGAAAAU